Molecule: long non-coding RNA, 3667 nt
Filed under: Sus scrofa (pig)
Lineage: Eukaryota; Metazoa; Chordata; Mammalia; Artiodactyla; Suidae
Description: lncRNA (ENSSSCG00005007389.1)
Source: RNAcentral
AGAAUAAGAGAAACGUAAGAUCACUCGAACCUCUGCCAAGUGGAGAUCAAGAACGAAUAUACACUUAGGAAAGAAAAAAAGCUGAAGUCAAUAGAAAAAUCUAUUACAUAAAGUAUUGAACUAUUACUUGUUCCUUGAUUGAUACGCUUCUUAUUUUGUUCCCAUUAAAAAAUAUAAAGCAUCCUUCAGAUGAUAGGCAACAUUCAAUUCCCAAGUAUGGAUUGAUUAUUGAUUGCAAGAAAGACUUCGCACUUAGAAGGAAAAAACUUCUAAGAAAUACAAGACUAUUACUGUCUAAAAGCUAAAAAUAUUUUUCAUAUACUAUCACAAGAAUAGAAUAAUUUCUUGCAAAUAAAAUGUUUAUGGAGGAGUUCCUUUUGUGGCUCAGUGGUUAACGAACCCGACUAGUAUCCAUGAGGAUGCGGGUUUGAUCCCUGGCCCUGCUCAGUGGGUUGAGGAAACGGCGUUGCCGUGAGGUGUAGUGGCUUGGAUCCCACGUUACUGUGGCUGUGGUGUAGGCCAGCAGCUGUAACUCUGAUUAGACCCCCUAGCCUGGGAACCUCCAUAUGCUGCGGGUGCGGCCCUAAAAAGCAAACAAACAAACAAAAAUUAAGUAAGCAACAUAUGCUGUUUCUUCUCUAUGCCAAAAUCACAUUCAUCUAGUAAUAGUGUGUUGAAUACCUACUAUGUGUCUAACACUAUUCUAGGAAGGAAGGGCAGGGCAGCAAAGAGAAAGCAUAAAGUUUCUAUUCUCAUGGAACUUAUAUACGUGUAGAUCUUUCCUGUACAAAGCUACAAAGAAAUCUCAGAAAGAUUAAUUCAAAAUUAAUUUGUUUACAUUCCCAGGAGAAGAACUACUAGGUCUCCAGCGAGGAACAUUAAAAAACUCAUUGAUACCUAUUAGCAGAAAUGACAUUUAAAAUAUUUAACAACCAAUUAUCAACAGAAUCGCCCUCCAGUCAGAACAAAGGCCAGGAGUUCCUGCAGUGGCGCAGUGGGUUGAGAAUCCAACUGCAGCGUCUCAAGGCAUUGCAAAGGAGCAGGUUUGAUCCUGUCCCCUCACAGUGGGUUAAAGGAUCCGGCACUGCUGCCGCUGUGGCAUAGGUCACAGCUGGGGCUCAGAUUCAGUCCCUGACCUGGGAACUUCCGUAUGCCCUGGGUGUGGUCGUAAAAAAAAUUUAAAAUUAAAGAAAUAAAAAAUUAAAAAAACAGGCCAGCUGUGCUGUAGCAACCUGACUGAAAAACAGCCUUAAUUGUUGCCCGGGUCUUUUCCAGAAAAGGAUGACCAGUUACCCCCUGUCAUCAGAGAGUAAAGGUCCCUAUCUUAUUGAACUCUGACCAGAACCGAAUAGCCACCAUUUGUAAAACAAAAAACAAAUGAAUAGAAACCAAAACAGGAGUUCCCGUCAUGGCACAGUGGAAAGGAAUUCAACUCGGAACCAUGAGGUUGUGGGUUCGAUCCCUGGCCUCACUCAGUGGGUUAAGGAUCCAGCGUUGCCAUGAGCUGUGGUGUAGGUUGCAGACAAAGCUCUGAUCCCAUGUUGCUGUGGCUGUGGUGUAGCCCGGCAGCUACAGCCCCCGUUUGACCCCUAGCCUGGGAACCUCCAUAUGCCGCACGUGCAGCCCUAAAAAGUACAAAAAGACGAAAAAGGAAAAAAAGAAAAAGAAACCAAAACAAAAAAACCCACUUUGCUUAUUUGAUAGGUAAGUUACUUUAUUAUGCAUUUGAUUUCUCAAGAAAUUAACUUCUUUAAGACAUGUUCAUCAGUGUUUGGAAUUUCCUCGCAUAACUGUUCUCUUCUUAAUCUUUACUUACCAGAAAAUUUGAAUUUAUCUUAACUGUUGCGCAUAAACACGUCAUAUCUUAAAGUGUCAUAUUUGGUCUGUCUUUUCUAGUUUGUUGGGUUUAAAAUCUGAUAUGUAUUUUUGACACAGAAAAAUAUAAAUCUAUGGUUCCUGCAGGGGGUUAGAACUAGAAGGGUUCCCCCACUACUUUACACUUCUCCAUGUGUUCCAAAUAUUCUUCAAUGAACAUUUUUCCUAAUUAUCGAUAUAGGACCAUGCUAAUGUAAUUAACGCAUUCCCAUUUUAAAGGCACCCAAGGAAAUAACAUAAGGAAAUAUCUAUUCUGCAAGUAACUUCUACCUUCACUUUACUGUGGUACCAUUUCCUUCUAGGUCGUCCUUCACGAUAAAAGAGCAUCAAUGUGGGCAUUUUAUUCAAAUUUGCUAUUUUUACUAAAGGGAAAAACAUUGCUACUGAUGAUGUGUCCUGUCGCAUUCAACAGAAAUCCAGGCUUCACUUUCAAAGGUCUUUUCCUCUAAGUUUCUAAAUCUACUGCCAAGAGCUGCUACCUUCACACUAAUGCAUGUACCCAGGGUGUGCUGGGCAGUCUCACCUGCAAUCCCAACCCGAGGGAAUGAGCUAGUUCACCCCGCCGCUCAUCUGAGCCUGACUCACCACAUCCUGCACCAUCAAGCAACAGUAACAUGGCACACAUCACCUCGGUGCCCUCGAUAAAUAUUUGUGGAAUGAAUGAAUGAGUCAAUGGAAACUUCAUCCAGUUAUUUAAUUCCUUCGUGCUCAUGAUCAGAGUCCGUUUAGAUCACAUACAUAGUUUAUUAUCCUGGUUUUCAGGAUAAUGUGUGUCAACCUCUCUGCCAAGUGCUGGGGAUGCCACUGUGAAGAGAAAAGUACCCUGUUCUCAUGGAUCUAUGACAAAUAUUAGUUAUGAAAAUGCAAUAAUAUGAGGCUUUACAUAUAUAACUUUUUUUUUUAAACUUCCAAUCAUACCAUUAGGAACUCUUAAGGCCCUGAGAUCGACUGAAAAAAAAAAACACACAAAAAAAAAACAGUUUAAAAAAAAAUCUAGUACGUAGUUGCCUUCCCUAAACUGUUGCCAAGGAAUGUGAGACAGCUAAAUGUUUAGAUAUCUAUAAUCCUGACACAAGUGUUUUCUUUUCAUUAAUUAUACACGGGUAGUCAGUUUUCUUAAUAACUAAAAGCUACUCCAGUUUUAAAAAUAAACAUGAAUAGAUAUUUUGAAGGAAAGCCACCAUGUUUGGGUCUAUUUUUGAGUGGUUGUAAGUUAUUUCUAGCUGCAUCUUACUUACUUCACUGUUUUGAGCUCCUAUUUCUGUGUUACAGAUUUCUUUGGGCAAAUGUUGAUAUAACCAAUACACGAAUAGCCAUGCUUUAAAAAUAAACCAAAAUGAGAGUAAAUUAAAAACAUACAACACUGCUGGCCAGACUCGGUGUUUCAUUGCAGGGCAGGGGGAGGUUUGUGGAUUCUGCAACAGGAGGCACUACAGUUAGACUCUAGUCUCAGCGCUUCACUGCACUAGCAGUGAUGUCACAUAAUCUGUGUUACAGUUUCCUCGUCUGUAACUGAAAAUAAUAAAACCACACUUAAAGCCACUAAACUGGGAGUUCCUGUCGUGGCGCAGUGGUUAAGGAAUCCGACUAGGAACCAUUCGGUUGUGGAUUCGAUCCCUGGACUCGCCCAGUGGGUUAACAGUCGGCGUUGCCGUGAGCUGUGGUCUGUGGUGUGAGUCGCAGGUGCAGCCCGGAUCCCCGGUUGCUGUGACUGUGGUGCAGGCUGGCAGCUGUAACUCCGAUCGGACCCCUAGCCUGGGAACCUCCAUAUGCUGUGGGUGCAGCCCUAAAA